UAAGACGAAGGUGGCGAGCGUUGUUCGGUGUUACUGGGCUUAAAGCGUGUGUAGGCGGAAUAGCAAGCGUCUUGUGAAAUCCCUCAGCUUAACUGAGGAAUUGCUCGGCGAACUACUAUUCUUGAGGCAAGUAGGGGUGCAUGGAACUCUUGGUGGAGCGGUGGAAUGCGUAGAUAUCAAGAGGAACGCCGAUGGAGAAAUCAGUGCACUGGGCUUGUCCUGACGCUGAGACACGAAAGCGUGGGGAGCAAACGGGAUUAGAUACCCCGGUAGUCCACGCCGUAAACGAUGUCUACUAGGUUGUGGGGAUUCUGACAUUCUCGCGACCGAAGCUAAAGUGUUAAGUAGACCGCCUGGGGAGUACGGUCGCAAGGCUA
This 377-nucleotide ribosomal RNA is filed under the name uncultured Planctomycetota bacterium. Its description in RNAcentral is "bacterial SSU rRNA". It matches the Rfam family "Bacterial small subunit ribosomal RNA", at positions 521 to 896 of the family's 1533-position model. Lineage: Bacteria; Pseudomonadati; Planctomycetota. The record is from RNAcentral.